AGUGAAUAGAUACCCGGGUAGUCCACGCCGUAAACGAUGAUCACUCGAUGUUGGCGAUACACAGUCAGCGUCUUAGCGAAAGUAUUAAGUGAUCCACCUGGGGAGUACGGUCGCAAGAUUGAAACUCAAAGGAAUUGACGGGGGCCCGCACAAGCGGAGGAGCAUGUGGUUUAAUUCGAUGAUACGCGAGGAACCUUACCUGGGCUCGAACGUGGACUGACAGUCGCGGAAACGUGAUCUUCUUCGGACAUUCUACGAGGUGCUGCAUGGUUGUCGUCAGCUCGUGCCGUGAGGUGUCGGGUUAAGUCCCAUAACGAGCGCAACCCCUAUCUUUAGUUGCCAUCAGGUAAUGCUGGGGACUCUAAAGAAACUGCCUACGCAAGUAGUGAGGAAGGCGGGGAUGACGUCAAAUCAGCACGGCCCUUACGUCCAGGGCUACACACGUGCUACAAUGGCCGGUACAGAGGGCAGCUACCUGGUGACAGGAUGCAAAUCUCCAAAGCCGGUCUCAGUUCGAAUCGAAGU
RNAcentral lists this ribosomal RNA (525 nucleotides) under uncultured bacterium. RNAcentral's name for it is "bacterial SSU rRNA". It matches the Rfam family "Bacterial small subunit ribosomal RNA", at positions 774 to 1304 of the family's 1533-position model. The record is from RNAcentral.